UCACUGCGCAGGUUUGCUGUGUCCUGAGCGUUUUGCUGUUUCUCAGGGCCCUGGGCCCCGAGCUCAGAGGCGAAGGCCGAGGGGGUGGAGCUGCUGGGAGUGAGACCCCCAAAAACGGCCCCCCAACCAGGAACCCAGAAGCUUUCCCGCUGCCUUCCCUCAGCCUGGUAUGUCUGGGGAUCGGUGGGAAGCUCUGACCGCAGGGGCCUGGCAGGCUUGAAGCUUGUUUGAUGGAGGGGGGCCCCAGCGAGGAGCAGGGGCCAGCUGCAGGUGGACAGAAGGCCAGGGGUGCAGCAGAGCCUGGGCCCCCGUGCUCCAGCUCGGGUGUGGAAGGCCACUGCAGAUGCCUGCCAGUCGGGGGAAAGCCCCAGGAGGGAAGUUAAGCAGGUCAGGGGAGAACUGGCAGGUGGUUAGUGCCCAAGGCAGCAUCUCUGCUCCCACGGGACCCCCUCCCCGACCGGAUCGGGCCUUGGGCUUGGGUUAGUGAUGAGGGUUGAGAGGGCUGACACUGGAGGGACACUGGCCCUGGUCUGCCGCCUGGUAGCUGUGAGACCGUGGGCAGGCAAGGUCACCACGCUGAACCUGUUUCUCAUCUGGACAGCAAGCGUAGUUCCAUCUCACAGGAGCAACUUAACACAAAACCAGGCUCUUCGCUGAUACUCCGUGGGCUGUCAACAAAUGGUGGACAAACGAGUUUCCUUCUGACACGAGGACCGGCCCCAGGGGGCCAGCAGGAGCCCAGCGCCCCCCUCCUGGGCCUGAGUGAGCCCCUGGGCCUGGGACCCUCGCUGCUCUCUCUCUACCCGGAGGACGCUGCCGCCGCCGCCCAGCCUGCGAGCCCCUUCCAGCCAGUGGCCAGCUCGGCCCGCGCCCACUGAGCCAGCUCCGCGUCCCGCCCCCCUUCUCCUCCCGCCCCCGGGAGAACCUCAGCCACACUCCAAGCCGGCAGCCAGCACACAGGAUGGGGACCCCCUCCUGAGCGGCCCCCGCCAGCCCUGGGCCUACCUCAGCCCCCACCCCUCUGUGUGCUCCCAAGCUGGGGGGCCGAGUGGGGUGAUCUCAGCUCAGUGACCUCUGUGGGAGGGGGUGCUCGGCCCCCUCCUCCUCUCUCAGGACUUCCCGAUCCGUGAUUACCUCACCACCCUCCCUCCGACUCUUGGAUUCAUUUUGGGGAUGCAGGGCUGGGGAGGGCUGGGGGUCAGAUCCGUGAUUUGAGUACGGAUAACUGAAAUCACAUUUUUUUCCCUGUCCCUCUUUUAGUUUUGUUCUUCUUCUCUUUCUGAUGUGGUCUUGAAUCACUAGGAAUUGCCCAAGGUCCACAAGCAAGUGGCGCUCUGACCUUCCCCCUCCUCAGGUAUCAGUGGGGGAAGGCACUGGGCCAGACCUCACCCCCAGAGACUGCUGUUGAGGCCUCGGCCUUCCACGCUGGCCCCCCACCCCCCCAGCUCUGCCUGGCCCCCCACUCAGGAGUCCCUGCUACCCCCAGCUUCACCAGGGCAGUGACUCCACUGUGGUCUUCCUAUUCCUGGGGUCGCCUCCACCCUCCUCUGGUUCCAGACCGUGCAACCUGACCACUGGUUCUAGGCUGCACAACGUUCUGCCUUCUCCUGGUUCCAGACCGCACAAUCCACAGCACGGCCUGGUCCAGACCUCACAGCCUUUCCCAUCCUGGGCCGCACACCCUCCGCACUCUGGAUCUACAGCCUGUGACCACCCAUGCCCCCGGCUCUAGAACUCACUCUAGAACUCUGGUUUCCUCUUGCUCUGGAUUUCUCCUCGUAAAUCCCUCUGGUCCUCAGUGUCACACCCUCUAACCUCUUUUGGUCCCAGAUCUUACAACUAAUGACUUCCUCUGGUUCUGGACCGCACAACUCCAGG
This 1878-nucleotide long non-coding RNA is filed under the name Oryctolagus cuniculus (rabbit). Its description in RNAcentral is "lncRNA (ENSOCUG00000033457.1)". The record is from RNAcentral. Lineage: Eukaryota; Metazoa; Chordata; Mammalia; Lagomorpha; Leporidae.